This 534-nucleotide ribosomal RNA is filed under the name Vanrija musci. Its description in RNAcentral is "eukaryotic LSU rRNA". It matches the Rfam family "Eukaryotic large subunit ribosomal RNA", at positions 122 to 646 of the family's 3401-position model. Lineage: Eukaryota; Fungi; Basidiomycota; Tremellomycetes; Trichosporonales; Trichosporonaceae. The record is from RNAcentral.
CUGGCGUCCUUCGGGCGUCCGAGUUGUAAUCUAUAGAAGUGUUUUCCGUGCCGGACCAUGUCCAAGUCCCUUGGAACAGGGUAUCAAAGAGGGUGACAAUCCCGUACUUGACAUGACCACCGGUGCUCUGUGAUACACUUUCUACGAGUCGAGUUGUUUGGGAAUGCAGCUCAAAAUGGGUGGUAAAUUCCAUCUAAAGCUAAAUAUUGGCGAGAGACCGAUAGCGAACAAGUACCGUGAGGGAAAGAUGAAAAGCACUUUGGAAAGAGAGUUAAACAGUACGUGAAAUUGUUGAAAGGGAAACGAUUGAAGUCAGUCGUGUUCUUUGGACUCAGCCGGUUCUUCCGGUCUAUUUCCUUUGAACGGGUCAACAUCAGUUUUGUCCGGUGGAUAAAGGCAGGAAGAAAGUGGCUCCCUCGGGAGUGUUAUAGCUUUCUGUCACAUACACUGGAGGAGACUGAGGACUGCAGCUCGCCUUUUGGCCGGGGUUCGCCCACGUUCGAGCUUAGGAUGUUGACAUAAUGGCUUUAAACG